This 1412-nucleotide ribosomal RNA is filed under the name metagenome. Its description in RNAcentral is "SSU rRNA". It matches the Rfam family "Eukaryotic small subunit ribosomal RNA", at positions 210 to 1555 of the family's 1831-position model. The record is from RNAcentral.
CUAGAAAAGAACCAAUAUGGGGCGCAAGUUCCAUCUAACAGAUGAUUCAUAGUAAGACUUCACGCGAAUCGGAGGCUUAAGUCUCCGAUGAUGCAAACGAGUUUCUGCCCUAUCAACUUUCAACCGUAGUGUGGGGGACUACGGUGGUUGUAACGGGUACGGGGAAUUAGGGUUCGAUUCCGGAGAGGCCGCCUGAGAAACGGCGACCACUUCCAAGGAAGGCAGCAGGCGCGUAAAUUAUCCAAUCCCGAUUCGGGGAGAUAGUGUCAAGAAAUACCGGUGUAGUGACCUACAUGGUUCUACGAUCGGAAUGAGUACAAUUCAAAAACAUUAGCGAGUAACAAUUGGAGGGCAAGUCUGGUGCCAGCAGCCGCGGUAAUUCCAGCUCCAAUAGUGUAUAUUAAAGUUGUUGCGGUUAAAAAGCUCGUGGUUGGACUUUGGGGUCGAGCGUUACAGACCCUCUCGGUUCUGCCGGGGGGAAUCAGUCUGGAUGUUUCUUCCUCUUUCUCGGAACGUUAACAGGGGUUCAUGGUUCGCCAUGUUCUCUUGGUUUCGCAGGAUUUACUUUGAAUAAAUUAGGGUGUUCAAAGCAGGCGCAACUCGCCUUGAAUACAUUAGCAUGGGAUAAUAGAAUAUGACCUUUGGUCUACUUAUUGGUUUCUAAGGCCAAGGUAAUGAUUAAUAGGGAUAGUUGAGGUCGCUCGUAUUCAAUGGUCAGAGGUGAAAUUCUAAGACCCAUUGAGGACGAACAAAUGCGAAGGCAUUCGACAAGGAUGUUUUCAUUAAUCAAGAACGAAAGUUGUGGGAUCGAAGAUGAUUAGAUACCGUCGUAGUCACAACCGUAAGCUAUGUCGACUCAGGAUCCGGGGAUGUUACAUGGAUGACUCUCCGGGCACUGUGUGCGAAAGCAUAAGUAUUCUGACUCCGGGGGGAGUAUGGUCGCAAGGCUGAAACUUAAAGGAAUUGACGGAAGGGCACCACCAGGAGUGGAACCUGCGGCUUAAUUUGACCCAACACGGGGAAACUUACCCAGUCCGGACACAACGAGGAUUGACAGAUUGAUAGCUCUUUCUUGAUUUUGUGGAAGCCGGUGCAUGGCCGUUUUUAGUUGGUGGAGUGAUUUGUCUGGUUUAGUCCGAUAACGAACGAGACCAUAAUCUGCUAAAUAGUGUCGUUAACAAGGAGACUUACGGGGCGGUCGGGUUUACUCGGCAGUUUCGUGGGUUUCCACUAAAUUGUUGGCGAAAGAUUUACUUCUUAGAGAGACUCUUGAUGAUGCAAAAAUCAAUGGAAGAAUAUGGCAAAAACAGGUCUGUGAUGCCGCUCGAUGUCUGGGGCUGCACGCGCGUUACACUGAGAUGUUCAACAAGUAUUAUUCAUGACCUGGCCCGAAGGGGUUCAGGUAAUCUCGA